Molecule: ribosomal RNA, 1203 nt
Filed under: metagenome
Description: bacterial SSU rRNA
Rfam family: Bacterial small subunit ribosomal RNA
Source: RNAcentral
AGAGUUUGAUCCUGGCUCAGAGUGAACGCUGGCGGCGUGCCUAAUACAUGCAAGUCGAACGCGAAAGUCCUUCGGGAUGAGUAAAGUGGCGCACGGGUGAGUAAUACAUGGGAACAUGCCCUCAAAUGGGGAGUAACGUUUGGAAACGAACGCUAAUACCGCAUAAUCUCGCAAGAGUAAAGGUGGCGCCGUAAGGGCUACCGUUUGAGGAUUGGCCCAUGUCCCAUUAGCUAGUUGGCGGGGUAAUGGCCCACCAAGGCAACGAUGGGUAACUGGUCUGAGAGGAUGAUCAGUCACACUGGAACUGAGACACGGUCCAGACUCCUACGGGAGGCAGCUGUAGGGAAUAUUGCACAAUGGAGGAAACUCUGAUGCAGCAACGCCGCGUGAGUGAAGAAGGCCCUUGGGUCGUAAAGCUCUUUAGCGAGGGAAGAAGCUGAUUACGGUGAAUAAUCGUGAUUGGUGACGGUACCUCGAGAAUAAGCACCGGCUAAUUUCGUGCCAGCAGCCGCGGUAAUACGAAAGGUGCAAGCGUUACUCGGAAUCACUGGGCGUAAAGCGCACGUAGGCGGACUCGUAGGUCAGUUGUGAAAUACCUGAGCUCAACUCAGGAAUUGCAGCUGAAACCGCUUGUCUUGAAUACCUGAGAGGGUGGGGGAAUACCUGGUGGAGAAGUGAAAUUCGUAGAGAUCAGGUGGAACACCGGAGGCGAAGGCGCCUGCCUGGCAGUGUAUUGACGCUGAGGUGCGAAAGUGCGGGGAGCAAACAGGAUUAGAUACCCUGGUAGUCCGCACCGUAAACGAUGGAUACUAGGCGUUCGGAGAGUUAACCCUCUGAGUGCCAAAGUUUACACAUUAAGUAUCCCGCCUGGGAAGUACGGUCGCAAGACUAAAACUCAAAGGAAUUGACGGGGGCCCGCACAAGCGGUGGAGUAUGUGGUUUAAUUCGAAGCAACGCGCAGAACCUUACCUGGCCUUGACAUCGCGACACCGGUGCAGAGAUGCAUCUUUCCCUUCGGGGACUCGUAGACAGGUGCUGCAUGGCUGUCGUCAGCUCGUGUUGUGAAAUGUUCGGUUAAGUCCGGCAACGAGCGCAACCCCUGUCCUUAGUUACCAUCAUUAAGUUGGGGACUCUAGGGAGACCGCCGGUGUUAAACCGGAGGAAGGCGGGGAUGACGUCAAGUCCUCAUGGCCCUUACGGCCA